Long non-coding RNA from Jaculus jaculus (lesser Egyptian jerboa), 400 nucleotides. RefSeq lists it as uncharacterized. The transcript is spliced from 3 exons. The record is from RefSeq and is a predicted model, not a curated record. Lineage: Eukaryota; Metazoa; Chordata; Mammalia; Rodentia; Dipodidae.
CAGCCCAGACCUUCAAGGGGAAGCUGAGCGGAGUGGGAAGAGAGCAGAGCACUGACUGGCACUUCCCAGCCUUGCGGCUACAGGAACUCCUUGCCAGUGUGGAAUCUGGUGACUUCUGUGCCAGCGAGCAACCAGAAAAGAGAAACAAAAGUAGUGUCUGAGCAGCUAAAGAUCUAAACACCAGCUCUGUACUGGUGGAAGUCCCCCAGCCUCAGCCUUGCUCUCAGCCCUAGAAAGCUUUGCACCCACCUCCGGAUCCAAAGCAACAGAGCCGCCAACCAUGCCAGGAGGAAGAACCCACCCAGAAGCCCCUUGGGGUGGCAGUGGGGAAGGGCAAGAAAAGAUGACAUGCAAGGAAGAUUUCAGAAACCCACUGGCCAUGAGAUUUCCAGAAGUCAGG